This 468-nucleotide ribosomal RNA is filed under the name uncultured bacterium. RNAcentral's name for it is "partial 16S ribosomal RNA". It matches the Rfam family "Bacterial small subunit ribosomal RNA", at positions 28 to 507 of the family's 1533-position model. The record is from RNAcentral.
GACGAACGCUGGCGGCGUGCUUAACACAUGCAAGUCGAACGGAAAGGCGCUGCUUGUGUGGGGUGCUCGCGUGGCGAGGGGGUGAGUAACACGGGAGUAACCUGCCCUGGACGGUGGGAUAACUUCAGGAAACUGGGGCUAAUACCGGAUAGGAGCUCCUGAUGCAUGGUGGGGGUUGGAAAGUUUAGGCGGAGGGGGAUGGAUUCUGGGCUUACCAGCUUGUGGGGUGGGGAGUCGCUUACCAAGGCAUUGGCGGGUGGCCGGCCCGGGAGCGGGACCAGCGACAUUGGGCCUGCGGGACGGACCAGACUGCUACGGUAGGCAGCAGGGGGAAGUCUUGCACAAUGGGCCGAAGCGUGAUGCAGAAACGCUCCGUGCGGGAUGACGGCCUUCGGGUGGUAAACCGCUUUCGGCUGUGACGAAGCUUGAUUGACGGUACUGGGUAAAGAAGCACCGGCUAACUACGUG